Long non-coding RNA from Hypanus sabinus (Atlantic stingray), 1244 nucleotides. RefSeq lists it as uncharacterized. The transcript has 5 exons. Lineage: Eukaryota; Metazoa; Chordata; Chondrichthyes; Myliobatiformes; Dasyatidae. The record is from RefSeq and is a predicted model, not a curated record.
AAAAAAUGGCAUUUCAAAGUUAUUUAAGAAACAUUAUAGGAAAAGAGGGAAAAAUUAAAAUGCUGCAUUUUACUUGUACUAGACUGGUCAACAGGGUCACUCAAAAAUAAGCUCACUUCACUUGUAUUAAUAACUAAUUGUUAGUACAAGUUUGUUACUUGGGAAUGAAAAACAUGUACAAAGUCCUGUGUAUGUUACUCAAAAGGCUCCUUUGGUUUGUUAAGAGUAGGAAUGCUUCCUUGUCUGAUAAGUGUUUCUCUCGCAGUUGUUUAGCUUUAGACUUGCUGAUAUGGGGAUUGUAUUCAUUUGUUAACCAAUGGGGAAUGUUAUUUUGUCUUGUGAGGCUGGGAGCUUGGGGGGUUUUCGCGGUUUUUUCAGAGGAGUCAAGAAGACGCCGCCAAGGAAGGUGGACGUGCGCUGCACUGCUUGGUUGACCACCGGGGUGGUCCCAGGUGCAAGGACGUGGAGGUCGGAGGAAAGUGACGAGGUGUCGAAUGGUUCAAUGGUUGAGCUCCAACGAUGUGCACUAAACUGACUGAACUUUGGUAUCACAGGACUGCAUCCUCAUUCAACGUUCACAAUGUAACCCUGGCAGGGUUAAAUCCUUUGCAACUGAGAACACUGAGAAAGCUCACCGACUACCAUCUAUUUGUACACAGCAGAUAAACAUUCAGAUAUGGAAGUGAAGCUCCAAAGUAAAACUGCAAAUGCUGAAAGUAGAAAAAGUGACACCAGCAAAAUUCUCCUUCCACAGUAAUCUCAGACAGCCUCAAUGAUGCCGAGAUCAGGGCUCUGUGGAGGCCACACCAACUGAUGCAGAACACCUUGUUCUUCUUUCACCAAAGAUGGAACAUAAGUUGUUGCUCCUCCAACUUGAGAGCGGCCUCAUCGUGGCAGUAGAGGAGAUGCUGAGUCAACACGACUGGGAAUGAGAAGUAGAAUUGAAACGGGUGGCCAUCAGAAAUUCUCUCCUUUUGCUGCGGACAGAUGAAGGUGUUUGACAGAGCGGUCCCCCAAACUAUGUUGUUUUUUACCAAUGUAGUUGAGGGCACACCAGGAGCAUGGAUACUGUAGAAGACCCUGGCAGACUUGCAGAUGAAUGUUGCCUCACCUGGAAGGACUGUGUUUGAAUGUUUCGGCUCGCAAGAACGUUUAGGUAUUCGUGAUUCCUGUCUUUCAUGAUAUGGAAGAGGUGAAUAAAUAAAAUUGUUCUUUUAAUAUACGUUUUAAAAAUUUGUUGUUGA